AGUGAACGCUGGCGGUAGGCCUAACACAUGCAAGUCGAACGGCAGCACAGUAAGAGCUUGCUCUUACGGGUGGCGAGUGGCGGACGGGUGAGGAAUACAUCGGAAUCUACUUUUUCGUGAGGGAUAACGUAGGGAAACUUACGCUAAUACCGCAUACGACCUACGGGUGAAAGCAGGGGAUCUUCGGACCUUGCGCGAUUGAAUGAGCCGAUGUCGGAUUAGCUAGUUGGCGGGGUAAAGGCCCACCAAGGCGACGAUCCGUAGCUGGUCUGAGAGGAUGAUCAGCCACACUGGAACUGAGACACGGUCCAGACUCCUACGGGAGGCAGCAGUGGGGAAUAUUGGACAAUGGGCGCAAGCCUGAUCCAGUCAUACCGCGUGGGUGAAGAAGGCCUUCGGGUUGUAAAGCCCUUUUGUUGGGAAAGAAAAGCAGCAGGUUAAUACCCCGCUGUUCUGACGGUACCCAAAGAAUAAGCACCGGCUAACUUCGUG
RNAcentral lists this ribosomal RNA (492 nucleotides) under uncultured bacterium. RNAcentral's name for it is "partial 16S ribosomal RNA". It matches the Rfam family "Bacterial small subunit ribosomal RNA", at positions 29 to 507 of the family's 1533-position model. The record is from RNAcentral.